UGGGGAAUUUUGGACAAUGGGCGAAAGCCUGAUCCAGCCAUGCCGCGUGAGUGAAGAAGGCCUUCGGGUUGUAAAGCUCUUUUAGUCGGAAAGAAAGAGUUGCAAUGAAUAAUUGUGAUUUAUGACGGUACCGACAGAAAAAGCACCGGCUAACUACGUGCCAGCAGCCGCGGUAAUACGUAGGGUGCGAGCGUUAAUCGGAAUUACUGGGCGUAAAGGGUGCGCAGGCGGUCUUGCAAGUCAGAUGUGAAAGCCCCGGGCUUAACCUGGGAAUUGCGUUUGAAACUACAAGACUAGAGUGCAGCAGAGGGCAGUGGAAUUCCAUGUGUAGCAGUGAAAUGCGUAGAGAUGUGGAAGAACACCGAUGGCGAAGGCAGCUCCCUGGGUUGACACUGACGCUCAUGCACGAAAGCGUGGGGAGCAAACA
Molecule: ribosomal RNA, 427 nt
Filed under: uncultured bacterium
Lineage: Bacteria
Description: bacterial SSU rRNA
Rfam family: Bacterial small subunit ribosomal RNA
Source: RNAcentral